Molecule: ribosomal RNA, 449 nt
Filed under: uncultured bacterium
Lineage: Bacteria
Description: partial 16S ribosomal RNA
Rfam family: Bacterial small subunit ribosomal RNA
Source: RNAcentral
AGCGAACGCUGGCGGCAGGCCUAACACAUGCAAGUCGAACGGAUCCUUCGGGAUUAGUGGCGGACGGGUGAGUAACACGUGGGAACGUGCCCUUUGGUUCGGAACAACUCAGGGAAACUUGAGCUAAUACCGGAUGUGCCCUUCGGGGGAAAGAUUUAUCGCCAUUGGAGCGGCCCGCGUCUGAUUAGCUAGUUGGUGGGGUAAAGGCCCACCAAGGCGACGAUCAGUAGCUGGUCUGAGAGGAUGGCCAGCCACAUUGGGACUGAGACACGGCCCAAACACCUACGGGAGGCAGCAGUGGGGAAUCUUGCGCAAUGGGCGAAAGCCUGACGCAGCCAUGCCGCGUGAAUGAUGAAGGUCUUAGGAUUGUAAAAUUCUUUCCCCGGGGACGAUAAUGACGGUACCCGGAGAAGAAGCCCCGGCUAACUUCGUGCCAGCCGCCGCCGUAA